AUUGAGGGCCCUGUACCUCGUCUAGAUACUCGCUUGUGCAUGUUGUUCUCUAUCAUAACACUUGUCAUUGCCGAUCUUAUUGAGGAAGAGGAAAGUGAAGCAUGUGAUGAAAUUGAAUCCAGCAUAGGCAGGCAUAUGAAAAAGCAGGUUGAAGGCACACGGCGUGAAGAUGUAAUCUCUUGUUUACAGAACCUGGGUGAUUAUCAAAGCUUGCUAACUCCACCUCAGGCA
This 231-nucleotide unclassified non-coding RNA is filed under the name Hevea brasiliensis (rubber tree). Lineage: Eukaryota; Viridiplantae; Streptophyta; Magnoliopsida; Malpighiales; Euphorbiaceae. The record is from RNAcentral.